AACAGGGAGAUGGAGGCGAUUCUGCAGUGUUGGAGGAAGGGACGUUGAGUCCCACACAUGUGGGGGUGCCCCAUUUGGAUUGUUCUGGGGACCUAGAACCUGGGGAGGAAGAUGUUGCCAGCUUGACGCAAGGGUCUCGUAGGUCAAUGAGGAAGACUGCUGGACAGCACUCAAACCCAUUUAAAUUGCCACAAUCCAUUAUAAAAUGAGCAAAAUUUUAAGUGUGCUCUCUUUUCAGCUCAUCGUCGGGUCGCCGAUGCCCUUUGAAGGGGAGGGUUGUAACAAGUGUCACCUGGCAGUUUGUUGCUCGCUGCCAGGUGAUUGGCUGAAGAGCUGUGAAAAGGUAGUGGGUGUGUGGGGUGAAGUCAGCGCUCUUCUGUGGAAAAAACCAGAGGCAAUUAAUUCACUCAGGUGCGAGUGGGUAUACUGUCGUGUGACCACGAAUUUUAAUAGAAGAAUUGAUCAAGCCCUAGAUCGACUGCGUGCAGGGAAACUGAUCAAUAUUAUCACAGGCCAUACAUAGCACUGAUUCCCAGCUGCGCUGAGACCCGAAUUGUUUGCAGUGUGUGCCACGAUUGCAGUGUCACUAAGCGGGGUGUGACGGGUUGUAGUGUUAUUUCGCACAGUUUGUGUGGUAAGUCUCAUGCGCAGCUGGGAUAUCGGCAGGAUGUGUUGUAAGUCCUGUCUGGAAACGACUGGGAAUUUGUAUGUUUAACUUAUGUAAUAAAUAAAUGAUCAAUUAUUUCUUUGCCCCGUUUACUCAUCCCUUGUCCUCGG
This is a non-coding RNA of Maylandia zebra (zebra mbuna), 777 nucleotides long. Lineage: Eukaryota; Metazoa; Chordata; Actinopteri; Cichliformes; Cichlidae. The record is from RefSeq and is a predicted model, not a curated record.